Long non-coding RNA from Triticum dicoccoides, 1591 nucleotides. RefSeq lists it as uncharacterized. The transcript has 6 exons. The record is from RefSeq and is a predicted model, not a curated record. Lineage: Eukaryota; Viridiplantae; Streptophyta; Magnoliopsida; Poales; Poaceae.
GUCCGCAUGUACGAUCGACGACUCCUGCCCUCGAGCGAGGUCUCCUUUCGCCGCCGCCCUUCAUCCCUUCGCCGCCGCCGCUCCACCCAGAGCCGCCCUCUUCCCCGCUGGCGCCGCCCUCUUCCCUCCCACCCCGAGCCACCGUCUUCCCCGCCCGCGCCGCUCUCUUCCCCGCCGGCGCUGCCCUCCACUCACCUUCUGUUCUUCAAGCGGGGACGCCCCAGAUCAAGUCGAGCAAGUCAGCGGGGCAGCGGCCAGAUCCUCCACGGCCACAUCUCCUUGGUGUUGUUGUCCUCAAUAGGCUAAUGACUCGAGGCAUGCUGCUAGCACAAUUACAGAAGGCCAUACAGUCAGCGGCAAAGUGCUCGCUGUCGCUAAUGAUUGAUUGCUGAGGAUCUCCAUUCGGGGAUUUAGCUACCUGCUCAAAUAAGAUGGUCAAUAGCUGUUCCUGUGAUCCAUUCUAUGGAUGAAGAAGGAGAAGACGAGUGAACAUAAUAAUUUCUGUGUCAUAUUAUUUGUUUCUGAUGUGGCUACUCUGGAAUACAAUUUAUGGGCGAGAGAUCAGACUUUCAGGACCCUGCUCUUUUAACUGAAAAACUGGGAGCACUAGCAGUUUUUCACAAGGAAAGUGGAUUGGACAAUGCCGCUAGCUUGGAUGGUGCCCCAUAUGGAUGUCGAUUGUGGGCGACGUGAGGAGGGACAAGGCAGAGAAAGGGGGUCAGGUUGGCGCCGCAUUAGAGGUGAGCGAGGGGGCCGGGGUUGCAUCGCCGCCGAGAUGCGUGAGGGGAUCGGAGCUGCGCCAAGCGGAUUCAUCAGAGCACUUCGCUCCUGCUGCCUUUGGCCUGAUGCUUAGAUGGAUUGAUUUGUCGGGUCAGGGAUCCUUCAGUUUUGUUGGAUCCGAAGUAAGAGCACCGGGACUUCAAGGACGAUGUAGAUUGUCGAAGGCUAAGUUGCAGAGUGCAUGGGCAGCAGUACCAGAGCAAGAACCUCUCGCGUGACGGAGCUGUUGUGGUAGAGAAGCAAAACUCAACGACUAACUCUACAAGCUCUGGUCACUCUCUUAAAAAUCACUAACGUAAUCAUAUCUCAGUCCAUUAUGCAAAUCUUAUUUCUGGUUUUUUGAUUCCAUUUCAGUACUUAUACCUUUUUACAAUGCGUUUAGUGCAUAUGAAUGAAGUAUAUUGAUUUAUCUUCUACCUAUGGUUUGCUGUGCUUUAUUGGUGCUCAACGUUUUUGACAUGUUGGCAUGCAUAUUACUAAAUUUGGUCAAGCAACCCGCCAACAGACACAAAGAAGGGUUAUAUGUCUUCUGAUCAUCUCGAUGGCAUAUAUGAGGACCUGCAAUACUAAACCUGGAAAUUAGUCGUUGAGGCAGUGGUCAUGGUAGUGAUAUCUACUGCCAGAACAUAAACGUUUGGCCCUCCUUUUUGCCACGAAGGAUUAUGAUCAACUGGACUUGCAGAACCAGUUAAUGGCAUGAUGCUGGCAGUAGUAAUGGAGGGCUGUGAUUUCUGGAUGGUAAAUUCUGAAUUGGAAAUGAUAUUUUCUAAUGUAUUCAUACAGUUAGAUAAUAUCAUAUUAGAUUUUCUUC